GGGCAUGUGGCGGAAUUGGCAGACGCGCAGGACUUAGGAUCCUGUCCCGCGAGGGGUGUGGGUUCGACUCCCACCAUGCCCACCA
Molecule: transfer RNA, 85 nt
Filed under: Chloroflexota bacterium
Lineage: Bacteria; Bacillati; Chloroflexota
Description: Chloroflexi bacterium (hydrothermal vent metagenome) tRNA-Leu
Rfam family: tRNA
About the family: Transfer RNA (tRNA) molecules are approximately 80 nucleotides in length.
Source: RNAcentral